GGAGCUGGUCGAAAGACCCGGGUCCAUCCGUCGGCGGGUAAGACACCC
This 48-nucleotide non-coding RNA is filed under the name unclassified sequences. RNAcentral describes it as "DUF3800-XI RNA". It matches the Rfam family "DUF3800-XI RNA". Rfam says of the family: Actinobacteria, Firmicutes, Proteobacteria, Spirochaetes (1 example). The record is from Rfam by way of RNAcentral.